Molecule: ribosomal RNA, 391 nt
Filed under: Wallaconchis gracilis
Lineage: Eukaryota; Metazoa; Mollusca; Gastropoda; Systellommatophora; Onchidiidae
Description: Wallaconchis gracile partial 16S ribosomal RNA
Rfam family: Archaeal large subunit ribosomal RNA
Source: RNAcentral
AUGAAUAUUAAAUGGCCGCAGUACCCUGACUGUGCUAAGGUAGCAUAAUCAAUUGGCCUUUAAUUGAGGUCUGGAAUGAAUGGAUAUACGGAAGCAAGCUGUCUCUCUUGGAGUUUAUGAAAUUAUUUUUAGGGGUGCAAAUUCCCUUAGUAAGAAAAUAGACGAGAAGACCCUAAGAGUUUUGAUUAUAGGUAAAGCUUUUACUUUUUUUUUGCUGGGGCGGCAAAGAAACAUUUAACUUUCUUGCUAUAAUUAAUAAUCGACGCGAUUUAUGAAGAACUAAAAAACUACCUUAGGGAUAACAGCAUAAUAUUUCAAUGUUUGUGACCUCGAUGUUGGACUAGGAAAGCUUUUGGCUAGCCGCCAAGAGUAUAUGUUCUGUUCGAACAAU